CUCUCUCUCUCUCUCUGUCUCUCGCGUUUCGAAUUUGGAAUUUCUCGGACCAUGAAAUAAGUCCUCUGUUUGGUAAAUGGAUAUACAAAUACGUAAUUUACUAUAUAAAUUUCUUUCUUUUUUCUCGGGAACCAAACGUGGUAGUUGUAUGUAACUGUUUUUAGUGAAGAUGCAAACGAAGUUCAUGGAAAGAUCGACGGGUAUGGCUAGAGAAAAGAGAGGUUUGGAUUCGAGUUCUGGCGACGAAGGCCAGCCUGAUAUAAAACGACCUGCUUUAGCUAGGUAUAUAUUUUUUUUUCUCUUUUGUUUAUAUGAUAAUUUACUAUAUUGUGACUGUUAAUUCAGUUACUUAUUUUUAAUUGAAGACGUCGUCUUCGUUGAACCUUUAACUUUGGUCACUGCUGAUUUCCGCUUCUAGGAAUCUACCCGAAUUUGAGAUACAUAUGUAUAUAAUAAUAAACAUACAUUGCAUAGACAUGUAAAUUAUUUAUUAAAUUUAUCUGCUUUACCUGAUCAAGCUUUAUGUUUUCAGUAAGCUUUCGGAUGGAAAAUCCUCGAAGUGCAAUUUUCUGGUUGGAUUAGAUGUUAACCAUGCUGAUUCUAUAAGACAAUGAGCUGGGACGUGAGUGUUGGUACCAGAAAGCAUUAUAUUGCUUGUAUAUGCGUCUGGAAAAAUACUUAAUUUUGGCUGUGUCAAUUUAUUAUAUAUUUUUUGUUAAUCUUGUCUGGCAGCAUCUCUUCUUUGAGUGUUGUGAAGAUACUAAAUUGAACCCAUUCUUGUUCUCGUUAUGUUCACUUUCAUGAUGUUGUGAUAUCAAAAACGAGCAUUUAUCUGCAAUUAUAUAGCAUGCCUGAUUCUUCUUGUAUUCUACUGUUCAAAGUCCAAUUUGUUAAACGGCCCUUGCUAAACUUCCUCGGUCGAAACUCUCUUUAUAACUAUAAUAAUCCCUUCCUAGUUGCUUGAGAAUUUAUUGAGUGCAGUUUUGACUGUGAAUAGCUGUGUUCUUAUGAUUAGCAUUGUAUUUGAAACUUGUUGAAAAUCCUGUGUAUUUUUCAAUUUUGUUGCAGUGUAAUUGUUGAAGCUCUCAAGGUGGAUAGUCUGCAGAAACUUUGCUCAUCUUUGGAGCCUAUCCUUCGGAGAGUUGUAAGAUAGAUUGCAUCCUUGUGUAUUUUGGUAUUCCUCUUUGAAGGAUUCAUGAUGACUGUCUUUUCAUUAUUGUUUUAUCUAAUUAUAAUAUCUGCAAAAGACUAAUCACAAUUACUUUCCAAUCUAUCAAUUGUUCUUUAAAUUUUCUCUCUGAAAUUAUUUUUUCUAUUUUGGAAAGGCGACGUUAUAAACAAUAGUUAACAGAUUUUGAUUAGGACAUGCUGUGAUUCUCUUGUAAUGCAUGUAAAUAAGAAUCUCCUCUAAUGAUUUAUGUAUUUCUUGCAUGAUUACGCUGUGGACAUACUCAAACACUGAGCAGGUUAGUGAGGAAGUGGAGCGUGCUUUAGCAAAAUUAGGCCCUACCAAACUUACCGGAAGGUACACAGCAUCUUUUCUCCGCUCGUUAAUAUGAUUCUGAAAUGGCAUUUUGUGCCUUCAAUAUACUUUAUACACUGGUGAACCAGCAUAAUUUUGUUUUUCUUCAACUAUCUAAUGUAAUUUGCAUUUUUUUUCAUGUUCAAUUAUCAGAUAUCUGGAACAUCUUAAGUUUUUCCUGCAACAGAAUCUGAUUUGGUAUUGAUCUUUAAGUCAGCAUUAUGGAUGUCUUGACAUCAUGCCCCCCAAUAUUAUUGCACACUGAGCACAAACAUAUUUUUCUGCAUUUCACUGUAGUUGAAUUUUACUAUUUGACAUUUUUUCUUUUGAAUUUGGUAUGCUUCCGGUUGCAUAUUUGGCACAUUUCAUCUGGUGACCAGUAUGUAUUUAGGACUGGACAAUCCUAUCUCAGCAUUUUUUGUUAGAUGUGUUAAAAUGACGUCUGGGCACCAACAUUAUUUUGACUUACUAGGAGUUGAGUUUGUGUUUUGCAUAGCUGCACUGCAUUAAUCAGUUUAACUCUGUUGGUCUCCGCCUCAUUUUCAGUUAUAUCAUGAAAUUGCCUACAGGGUAGAUCCACUUUACUUUGUUCAAUGAUGGCAUAUGGUUCUCUUAGCCAGUCUAAAAUCUUUGUUCAUGCAGUCCCUUUUCUGUUAAUUUGAGGGGAUUAUAGAGGGUUACUCCUGGUUGCUUAACUGUGUAAAUUAGAGGGUAUGAAUUUUGUUGAUUUGAAUUUAUUCUAUGCCUCUGCACCACAAUUUUGUGUUUCUAAUGGUUGAGAAAAUGCAGGUCUUCUCCUAAAUGUAUAGGAGGGCCUGACGGAAAAAACUUGCAGCUGCACUUCAGGUCCAGGUUGUCCCUCCCUCUCUUUACUGGUGGGAAAGUAGAAGGGGAACAGGGUGCUGCAAUCCUCAUUGUGUUGAUUGAUGCAAACACAGGCCAUGUUGUCACAUCAGGUCCUGAAUCUGCAGUGAAACUGGAUGUCAUUGUUCUUGAAGGUGAUUUUAAUAAUGAAGAUGAUGAUAACUGGACUCAAGAAGAAUUUGAGUCUCAUGUAGUUAAGGAGCGUGAGGGCAAGAGGCCACUUCUAACUGGGGAUCUGCAAGUGACAUUAAAAGACGGUGUAGGAACUCUAGGUGAGCUGACGUUUACUGACAACUCAAGUUGGAUAAGAAGCAGGAAGUUUAGGCUGGGUUUGAAGGUUGCCUCAGGAUGUUGUGAAGGGAUUCGUAUUCGUGAAGCAAAAACUGAUGCCUUCACUGUCAAAGAUCAUCGAGGAGAAUUAUACAAGAAACACUAUCCGCCUGCACUAACUGAUGAGGUUUGGAGAUUGGAGAAGAUUGGCAAGGAUGGAUCUUUCCACAAGAGGCUGAACAAGUCUGGGAUAUUUACUGUUGAAGACUUCUUAAGACUUGUGGUUAGAGACUCUCAGAGAUUGCGGAAUAUUCUUGGAAGUGGCAUGUCGAAUAAGAUGUGGGAUGUUCUGGUAGAGCAUGCAAAGACAUGUGUUCUGAGUGGGAAACUUUAUGUGUACUAUCCUGAUGAUGCAAAGAAUGUUGGUGUUGUUUUCAACAAUAUAUAUGAGUUAAGUGGCUUAAUUGCAAAUGGAGAGUACCUCUCAGCAGACUCUCUUUCUGAUGACCAGAAGGUUUAUGUGGAUGAAUUGGUGAAGAAGGCAUAUGAAAAUUGGAUGCAUGUUAUAGAGUAUGAUGGCAAAACACUUCUAGACUUCAAGCAGAAUCAGAACAUUGCUUCUUCCCAAUCUGACCUGCCUGCUGGUCAACAAGAUUUUUUGAGCUCUUAUGAGCAUCAGGUUACGUUGCCUACUCUAUCAGUUCCAGUGCCUACAGAGCAGCCUUCUAUGGACUCAGGUCCAUCUGUUGGAGGUACACAUUUUAUGUUGAAAAUCAUUAUAGCAUGUAUUGGACACUAGACACAUACUUGAUGGGAUUGAAAGAUGGGAUUCUUUUAGUAGUAGAGAUUUUAUUUCAAUUAUCAGUAUAAAUCUCGGGAGUUCUUUCACAAAUUCUUUGGUGCCUAUUUUAUAGCUUUUCAUAAAUCAUUGUUGGCAUGAAGCUUUUCCAUAUGUUUCAUUGAUCUCUGUGUGAAUGUUUUUGCUCUUUAGGUUACAAUGAUAGUAUGGCUGCAAGAUUCUCAUUGCAAUCACAUAAUGGAAAUCCAAACACGCCUUUUCAAUUUGAUGCCACUUCAUUACCUCUACAAAAUCCUCUUGUCAGUACAUCACAGCAUGCCCAAUUUCAAAGAAGUGACAAUUUGCUGGCGCUUGCUCCACCACAUUCAUCAACAUCAAGCUUCCAAGGUGUCUGUACACCAAACCUUACUUCUUACAGGGGAGCUGAGGAUUUCUUCCAAGAGGAGGAGAUUCGAAUGAGAAGUCAUGAGAUGCUUGAAAAUGAAGAUAUGCAGCAACUUCUCCAUAUCUUCAACAUGGGAAGCCAGGGCCUUUCUUCCUUCAAUGUAAAUGAAGAUGGGUACCCUUACUCAUCAGCAUACAUGCCAGCCCCAUCUCCAAACUACAGCUUCGCCGACGAUCACUCUCGUUCAUCUGGCAAAGCUGUCAUUGGAUGGCUGAAGCUCAAGGCAGCCCUUAGAUGGGGCAUCUUUAUUAGGAAAAAGGCUGCUGAGAGGAGGGCACAGCUCAUAGAGUUAGAUGAUCCUUAAAUGUGGCCUGUGAAGCAAUAAUUGACAUGCUUAGGUGUUUGCAGGCUUCCUCCUUUUCCAGCCAAAUUUCGCAUCCAACUCAAUUAGAGUCAUGGUUUGGGACUUGCCUAGCUGGCUAGAGUUUAUUGAAGGUCCUGCUGUUCUUGGAUUAUAAUCCUUGAAUUUGGGGACACCUCUUUUUGUACAGUUGAUCACUGUACAGUAAGCUUUCUUAGUUGCCUUGGCUACAACAUUCCUCAUUGUGAACUUGGAAGAUCAACUGGGUUCAAAUGGUGGGUAUUUUGUAGAGACUUCUAAUAUUCAGUGGUUCUGACGCUGAAAAACUUAGCAGUGUGUUUAAAUUAGGAAGUGGAUAGGAUAGAAAAUCUAAGGCUAAUUUUAUCCAGAUAUAAUUAGCUAGUGUUUUUUCUUUUUCAUCUUUGAUUGCUAUUUUUCUCGUGUAUCGAGUCCCAACAUAAAUGAACACCUUGUAUUUAUGUCUCCUUUGUAAAAUUAAAAUAAUUGUUGGAUUUGGGAAUGUAUUGCCCAGUUGAACGGUUCUAUUAGUUGAUGAUUUAUGCAUUUGACUGGAAAAAUUGUCAUCUUCUGCACAGAGAGUUAA
Molecule: unclassified non-coding RNA, 4805 nt
Filed under: Hevea brasiliensis (rubber tree)
Lineage: Eukaryota; Viridiplantae; Streptophyta; Magnoliopsida; Malpighiales; Euphorbiaceae
Source: RNAcentral